UGGGGAAUAUUGGACAAUGGGCGCAAGCCUGAUCCAGCCAUGCCGCGUGUGUGAAGAAGGCCUUUUGGUUGUAAAGCACUUUAAGCGAGGAGGAGGCUACUGAGAUUAAUACUCUUGGAUAGUGGACGUUACUCGCAGAAUAAGCACCGGCUAACUCUGUGCCAGCAGCCGCGGUAAUACAGAGGGUGCGAGCGUUAAUCGGAUUUACUGGGCGUAAAGCGUGCGUAGGCGGCUUCUUAAGUCGGAUGUGAAAUCCCUGAGCUUAACUUAGGAAUUGCAUUCGAUACUGGGAAGCUAGAGUAUGGGAGAGGAUGGUAGAAUUCCAGGUGUAGCGGUGAAAUGCGUAGGGAUCUGGGGGAAUACCGAUGGCGAAGGCAGCCAUCUGGCCUAAUACUGACGAUGAGGUACGAAAGCAUGGGGAGCAAACAGG
This 430-nucleotide ribosomal RNA is filed under the name Acidobacteriota bacterium. RNAcentral describes it as "Acidobacteria bacterium partial 16S ribosomal RNA". It matches the Rfam family "Bacterial small subunit ribosomal RNA", at positions 355 to 776 of the family's 1533-position model. Lineage: Bacteria; Pseudomonadati; Acidobacteriota. The record is from RNAcentral.